UGGACGCUGACCUUCCACUGUUUAAUGCACUGUGACGCUAUGGGAAUGAAUGAGAAGAAAGUUGCGUCAGUGACCUGUCAUAAGUAGUUGAUUCUGAACAAAAGUUGAACGCGUUCUAGCGCAUAUUUAGUCAAUGAAAUGUAAACACAACAGUACAUAUUUGACCACUUAUUUUUUGACAUUUUAGGGGAAGCUGAGCUUCCCUUGCAGUCUUAGAGCAAUCGCCACUGGUCUGUACAGUUGGGCAGGAAGAGGAACCACUCUGAACAUGAGCAUGGCUCUGGUUCAUCAGAGACCAGUGGUUCAUCAUGUGGUGGAUGGAGCUCCAGUGGCCUUGCGAGAGUUUUUCAUUCCACUGAACGUGUGCUGCUGGCCCCCCACGGUGGCGCGGGAGAGCGAGGGCCCGAUCACAGCUGCUUGCAGCUUUAAUUAUUAUUAGGGACCUCGGCUGAAGGGCAAUAAUGGAAAAGUAGGAGAAAAAUAAAGACAAUUUUACUGCUUAUUAUUUAGUGUGUGUUUGCUCUGCUGGGGAAGCAGGAGAAAAUGUAUGAUUCAGCUGGAUUUUAGUAAAAACUUUAAUUUUUCACUUUUUUACUUUCAACAUAUUGUACUACAGU
Non-coding RNA from Epinephelus lanceolatus (giant grouper), 617 nucleotides. The record is from RefSeq and is a predicted model, not a curated record. Lineage: Eukaryota; Metazoa; Chordata; Actinopteri; Perciformes; Serranidae.